CCAAUUGUUUUGAUCUCUUCCUGAGGGAAAAAUAUAAUAUGUAAUCCCUGUUAGGUUGGAUCUCUCUUCUGUAUUUACUUUGGUUUUCAUUUCUUUAUCAUUUUUCUCUGUGUUUUGAGACUAAAUCUCAAACUUGUCCUUUCCCUCAUGGUCUCAAGUUUUUGUAAUGUUAAUUCUGAUCUUUUAUUCUCCCAAUGUGAAUAAUAGGUGUUAUUGAAUAUUUGAUUUCUCUGCAGUCCUCUUACCUGGCUUCUUUCCUGUCUAGCCGUUUUAUUUCAGGAUGUUAUUUCUUUAUGCCAACUGCACCUUUUUCAUGGAGGUCAUGAAGGCUAACCUGUUACAGAGGAUGCCAAAAAGGCAGAAUGCAGGAACAGCCCCCGCUGAACGGGGCGUACCCGCCGGCACCUCUGACACUCAGCAGCCCCCUCAGUUCAUGGAGGGUUCCGAGCCUCACCUGCGUCCCUUAGGUGCUGGCAGCUUCUCCUGGGUUUUAUGUAACCCCCUCGGCCAUUCCAGAAGAAAGCAGCCCUUUGGAUGCCCCCUUUGACCUGUGAACUUCAGGGGUUUUUAAAGGUAAAGUUAACCAUGUCUGGUAAAUGUAAUAUUUUCUGAAUGAAUGGAUGAAAAUGAAUAUUUCAUCAUCUCUUUGAUUUACUAUAAAUGCUUUCACAAAAAAUCCUUAUGUUUUUGAACUAUAAAGUCAUGUCAGAAAAAAAUGUUUCAUGUACUGAAAAGCUUUCUCCAAAGGGAACUGUAGCAUUUUACUAGAGUGAAUGAACACUGGAAAAAAGGAGAUACCCAGACUUUUGAAGGAUUACUACACAUUGGUUCUGAAUUGAUGCUAAAUCCAGGGGAAGGAAAAUGCUGCUGUGGUCCAUUAGUCAAAGUAGGGUGUAUGGGUGGUUUUGGCCUAAAUUUAAAUCACUGUGGGCUCAGUAGACCUGCAGACUCCUGUUGUUAUCUCCUAAGUUGCUGACUGCUUAAUUUGAAUAGAUAUACUUGUCAAUUGGAAGCAUCAUCACAUAGCUUCUCUGACUUACAAAGUAAAGACAUUAGGAAGGCCCCUAGGACUUCCCCUUCUUGCUAGGAUGGUAAACUCAGUACUGUGUCUCUGGAGAAAUUGCAGGGAUUGUUGCCACUAUCAAGGACUUGGGAAAUGCCGCUGUAUUGAUGUUUGUUGCAUCUCUAUUUCAUUUGCUUGUUUGGACUCUGUAGAAGUGGGAUGGAGCUUGGAGAAUGACCAUGGAAUAGCAUACAUUUAAUCAUUUAAAUGUAUUUAAUCAUUUGAUACUGACUGUACUUGCAGCUUCUACUCAAGAUGUGGCAUAUAUACUGAAGCAAAUCAGUAAAGCAAGUCACAGCCUGGCAUGUGGUGUGCAGCUAAUGACCUGGAAAAUGCUCCCCUCCCUCCAUGCUAAUCUGUAAGAACCACAGCAAUAGUUUGUUUUUGCAUGGUAGGACUUACUCUUUGUGGUCCUGCUGCUACUGCUAAGUCGCUUCAGUCGUGUCCGACUCUGUGCAACCCCAUAGAUGGCAGCCCACCAGGCUCCCCCGCCCCUGGGAUACCCCAGGCAAGAACACUGGAGUGGGUUGCCAUUUCCUUCUCCAAUGCAUGAAAGUGAAGUCGCUCAGUUAUGUCCAACUCUUCACGACCCCAUGGACUGCAGCCUACCAGGCUCCUCCAUCCAUGGGAUUUUCCAGGCAAGAGUACUGGAGUAGGGUGCCAUUGCCUUCUCCGUGGUCCUACCUUAGGGCAAAUGAAAGCUGCUUCUUUACUGAGGUUCUAUGAUCUGAUGGUUCUUGAAAAGCCUAUGUCGUCUAGGUAUGCACUGUGAAGACUUUGGCAAGCUCAAAUAGGAGAAUUAUCAGGCAGAUAAUAUAGCAAACCCAUGCUUUCUUUUACAGAUAGCUAUCCUUUUGGGAAAUAACUGCAGGUUUGCUGCGUGGCCCCAGUAGAGACUGAAUGUUUGAUCACUGGACAUCACGUGACUAGGUGACCCAUCAUAACCAGGCAUUCUCUGAGCCAGUGAGCCAUCCACUUAGAUAUGGGCAGUAGCAACCAAUUAAAUGGUAAAUAAGAAACUGAGCUGAGCUGAGCUUAGAAGACACAGCAAGGCAGCUGCAGGAACAGGUGCCUCAGACUCCUUCAGCAGUACCUGCUGCUGUAUUGUCUUCUGCUUCCAUGCCUGUGGCUUCAUGGAGAAUGCCUUAGGAACUUAGGACUCAGUCUGGUUUAUAGAUGGUUUGGUGGUCUUGGUUCCCAAGGGGGACAUCACAAUGGUUCUGUUUUCUAAAUGUAUUUUAAUACAUUUAUUUGCUUUCUUUAACUUAAAAAUAAAUUAUUUGACUAUGUGGUCCCUAAAUUAUUU
This 2369-nucleotide long non-coding RNA is filed under the name Bos indicus x Bos taurus (hybrid cattle). RNAcentral describes it as "lncRNA (ENSBIXG00000028294.1)". Lineage: Eukaryota; Metazoa; Chordata; Mammalia; Artiodactyla; Bovidae. The record is from RNAcentral.